Molecule: ribosomal RNA, 454 nt
Filed under: Palophagus bunyae
Lineage: Eukaryota; Metazoa; Arthropoda; Insecta; Coleoptera; Chrysomelidae
Description: eukaryotic LSU rRNA
Source: RNAcentral
UCAGGGUAAACCUGAGAAACCCGAAAGGUCGAAUGGGGAAAUUCAUUCGCGUUUCGGCCGUCGGCGGCGAGUGGUCGAGUGACGGAUGGCGUCCGCGUCGUCCGCGCCUUCCGCUCGUCGAACCGGCGUCGAACGCGUGCACUUUUCCCCUAGUAGGACGUCGCGAUCCGUUGGGUGUCGGUCUACGGCCCGUGGUGGAGCCCGUAUGGACGUUUCGGCGUUCCGUGCGGACCCGCGGUGUCCCGGCCGACUCGCUCGACGGUAUACAGAUGGCGCGGGGCCGCUACUUUAGUUAGCGUUCGGCCUGCGGCAAGCGCGUCCGGUGCGACGGCGAUCGGACCUAGUGCCGGUUCUGUCCCCGGGCGACUGUUGGCCGCGGUGUUCUCGAACAGACCCCGUUGAAACGCCGAUCUGCGACGCUAUAGCUUUGGGUACUUUCAGGACYCGUCUUGAA